RNAcentral lists this long non-coding RNA (246 nucleotides) under Phoenix dactylifera (date palm). RNAcentral's name for it is "long non-coding RNA (PDAC_LNC022749)". Lineage: Eukaryota; Viridiplantae; Streptophyta; Magnoliopsida; Arecales; Arecaceae. The record is from RNAcentral.
UGUAACAACCCAGGACCUCAUCCAAAAUGGCUAGUCAUAAGUUAUUAUUUGGGUUCCUUGAUCCUGUAUAAGUACCCAAGAUCUACCCAGCGAAUAACCGAUGUGGGACUAAACACACGCCCGCACGGGUCCUCACAUAUACUAUCUACUAGAAAAGCUAUAAGAAGUAAUCCAAUAAUCUAAAUGCCAAACUAUAAUUUUUAUAGCAUUUUAUGGUGUAUAUUUUGCUAUGUCAUAAAUAAUUCC